ACCCCGUUAAGGUUGAGCCAAGCUCAGGAGCUCGAGUUUUAUAUCCUACCGCCCUACUUCCCCCAGUACCACGCUGCGUCCCUCGAUCGCCGCCUCCAACGACUCUUGGUCGGGUCCGACAUCGUCGCCGGCACUUCCCUCUCUCUGCCCAAUCAGUUCAUCUCCUCCCGGCCUCCGGCGCCGUCUUCCCUCUCCGAUCUCCAUCAAGAUGUCCACUGGAGGCCCCCCUCGGCCGCUGCGGAUUCUCGCUACCGCCGCCGGGUACUUCUUUGGGGGCUUGUUCACCCUCUCCCUGGCUUCUUCUGUGGCUAUGCGAUCCUUGCAGUCCUUCAUGGAAGCUAAGAGAAAGAAGGUGGCUCCGCCCUGUGCAUCUUGCAAAGGAAAAGGCUUCUACGGAUGCAAACUAUGCAAAGGGAAAUCCACCAUCGAGUGGUCUCCCCUGUACGAUCCUAUAGUUAUCAACCCUUGUCUCUGCCCAACUUGUGAGGGAAACAAGUCGGUAUUCUUUGAUAGCUGCAAUUUUUAUUAUUAUUAUUUUUUUUAUUUUUUGAUAUUUUGAUCACUGGCAUCAACAUUCGUUGUUAAGUAUAGUUACUAGGCAGAAAUUUCAUCUUUAACUCUCUCCUCUACAACUUUAAGACCUAAUUACUCAAGGUAACUUUAAACUAGUGUGUAGUGGUUCAGCUCUCUCUCUCUCUCUCACUGACGAUUCCAUGAACUUGUCUCUUGGCAGAAUCCAGAGGUGCUUGAACUGUCUUGGGAAGGGUUAUGUAUGAUAAAUCAUAUGAUGGAGCACAAUUGUGAUUUUGAUCAGGUUUCUCUCAUCGCGCUGGAGAUUGAGAACAAGGUGCAAGAGGCCAGAGUUUUCUUGCUGCUACAACUUGAGCCAAUAACCCAAGUUUUUUUCUCUGCAUCUGGUUAUUAUGCAAGGUCUCGACAAUGCAAGCUUAGAAGUUGAUUUCAUCAACAGAUGUUGCAUUUACCAACUUUGUAUUAGAUCAAAUGAUAAAAUGCCAUUUCUUGCAUAUACUGUGUUUCA
Long non-coding RNA from Zingiber officinale, 1039 nucleotides. RefSeq lists it as uncharacterized. NCBI's taxonomy places the organism in Eukaryota, Viridiplantae, Streptophyta, Magnoliopsida, Zingiberales, Zingiberaceae. The transcript has 3 exons. The record is from RefSeq and is a predicted model, not a curated record.